RNAcentral lists this ribosomal RNA (638 nucleotides) under uncultured Pleurotus. Its description in RNAcentral is "eukaryotic LSU rRNA". The stretch from base 243 to 396 matches the Rfam family "5.8S ribosomal RNA". Lineage: Eukaryota; Fungi; Basidiomycota; Agaricomycetes; Agaricales. The record is from RNAcentral.
AAGGAUCAUUAAUGAAUUCACUAUGGAGUUGUUGCUGGCCUCUAGGGGCAUGUGCACGCUUCACUAGUCUUUCAACCACCUGUGAACUUUUGAUAGAUCUGUGAAGUCGUCUCUCAAAUCGUCAGACUUGGUUGCUGGGAUUUAAACGUCUCGGUGUGACUACGCAGUCUAUUUACUUACACACCCCAAAUGUAUGUCUACGAAUGUUAUUUAAUGGGCCUUGUGCCUAUAAACCAUAAUACAACUUUCAACAACGGAUCUCUUGGCUCUCGCAUCGAUGAAGAACGCAGCGAAAUGCGAUAAGUAAUGUGAAUUGCAGAAUUCAGUGAAUCAUCGAAUCUUUGAACGCACCUUGCGCCCCUUGGUAUUCCGAGGGGCAUGCCUGUUUGAGUGUCAUUAAAUUCUCAAACUCACUUUGGUUUCUUUCCAAUUGUGAUGUUUGGAUUGUUGGGGGCUGCUGGCCUUGACAGGUCGGCUCCUCUUAAAUGCAUUAGCAGGACUUCUCAUUGCCUCUGCGCAUGAUGUGAUAAUUAUCACUCAUCAAUAGCACGCAUGAAUAGAGUCCAGCUCUCUAAUCGUCCGCAAGGACAAUUUGACAAUUUGACCUCAAAUCAGGUAGGACUACCCGCUGAACUUAA